UUGGAGGGCAAGUCUGGUGCCAGCAGCCGCGGUAAUUCCAGCUCCAAUAGCGUAUAUUAAAGUUGUUGCCGUUAAAAAGCUCGUAGUUGAACCUUGGACCUGGCUGAUCUGUCCUCCUAAUCGAGCGCACGGAUUCGGUCGGGUCUUUCCUUCUGGGGAGCCCUAUGCCCUUCACUGGGUGUAGUGGGGAACCAGGACUUUUACCUUGAAAAAAUUAGAGUGUUCAAAGCAGGCCUUUGCUCGAAUACAUUAGCAUGGAAUAAUAGAAUAGGACA
Molecule: ribosomal RNA, 275 nt
Filed under: uncultured Ascomycota
Lineage: Eukaryota; Fungi; Ascomycota
Description: partial 18S ribosomal RNA
Rfam family: Eukaryotic small subunit ribosomal RNA
Source: RNAcentral